Molecule: long non-coding RNA, 335 nt
Organism: Limanda limanda (common dab)
Lineage: Eukaryota; Metazoa; Chordata; Actinopteri; Pleuronectiformes; Pleuronectidae
Exons: 4
Source: RefSeq, a predicted model, not a curated record
AGUUACUGAUGGUGUAAUCUGUCUCGUUGAGCCUUCUGCCAUAACAGACCUCCAUGCUGUUGAGGAUGAUGAAGAAACCUUAUCAGCUGCCACAGAGAGGGAAGAUGCAGAGAGGCCUGCUGAAAGCCAUGCUGGAAAUUACAAUGGGGAAGAAGGUCCAUCAACCUCCACAGCACAGCUUACCUCACUCCCUGUGAAACAACUUUACAAGGUAUAUUUAGAAUCUCAAAUAAACAAAUCACACCUAGAAAUGGAGCACAUAAGGCUGCAGAUCACCAAAACAGAAAAGGAAAUACAACUGCUGGACCAUCAGUUAAAGGUGGGUGACGUGCCCA